This 578-nucleotide ribosomal RNA is filed under the name Progomphus obscurus. RNAcentral's name for it is "partial 12S ribosomal RNA". The stretch from base 173 to 573 matches the Rfam family "Microsporidia small subunit ribosomal RNA", at positions 752 to 1303 of the family's 1311-position model. The record is from RNAcentral. Lineage: Eukaryota; Metazoa; Arthropoda; Insecta; Odonata; Gomphidae.
GGGAUAAGUGAAUAUUAUUGGCUGGUUUGCAGUUAAAAGUUUUUAUUUAUUAAAGUUUUUAUUUUUGGGUGAAAUCUCUAAAUUUUUUAUUAAUUAUAUUUAUUGAAGCUGUGAAACUUAAUUUUAAAACAAGGAUUAGAUACCCUUUUAUCUUAAGUGUUAAAAUUAGCCUGGGUAGUAAUAGUUAUGUUCUUGAAACCCAAAGAAUUUGGCGGUAUUUUAGUCCUUUCAGAGGAAUCUGUCCCGUAAUCGACAGCCCACGAGAAGAUUUACCUGUUCUUGUUUUCAGUUUGUAUACCUCCGUCAUCAGAGAAUCUUUUUAGAGAAGAAUUUUCUUAAUAUAAUGAAUAUAGGAUGUCAGGUCAAGGUGCAAUUUAUGGACAGGUGGCGAUGGAUUACAAUAAAUUAUUUAUAUGGAUUGACUUAUUUAAUUUGUCAUGAAGGUGGAUUUGAUAGUAAUAUUAAUUUUUUGUUGAUUUGAUUUUGGCUCUAAAAUAUGCACACAUCGCCCGUCGCUCUCAUUUUUAAAAUGAGAUAAGUCGUAACAUAGAGGUGUAUCGGAAGAUGUACCUGGUUAG